RNAcentral lists this ribosomal RNA (509 nucleotides) under uncultured bacterium. Its description in RNAcentral is "bacterial SSU rRNA". It matches the Rfam family "Bacterial small subunit ribosomal RNA", at positions 15 to 518 of the family's 1533-position model. The record is from RNAcentral.
GAUCAUGGCUCAGGAUGAACGCUAGCUACAGGCUAACACAUGCAAGUCGAGGGGCAGCAUGAUCGAAGCUGCUUGAUGAUGGCGACCGGCGCACGGGUGAGUAACGCGUAUCCAACCUUCCCUAUAGUAGAGAAUAGCCCGGCGAAAGUCGGAUUAAUGCUCUAUGUUGUAUUUAGAAGACAUCUGAAGAAUACCAAAGGUUUACCGCUAUAGGAUGGGGAUGCGUCUGAUUAGGUUGUAGGCGGGGUAACGGCCCACCAAGCCCACGAUCAGUAGGGUUCUGAGAGGAAGGUCCCCCACAUUGGAACUGAGACACGGUCCAAACUCCUACGGGAGGCAGCAGUGAGGAAUAUUGGUCAAUGGACGAAAGUCUGAACCAGCCAAGUAGCGUGCAGGAUGACGGCCCUAUGGGUUGUAAACUGCUUUUAUACAGGGAUAAAGUGAGGGACGUGUCCCUUUUUGUAGGUACUGUAUGAAUAAGGACCGGCUAAUUCCGUGCCAGCCGCUGC